UAACUUAGGGAGAAGGGGUGCCUACGAGAGUAGGCCGCAGUGAAUAGGCUCAAGCAACUGUUUAUCAAAAACACAGGUCUCUGCUAAAGCGUAAGCUGAUGUAUAGUGGCUGACGCCUGCCCGGUGCUGGAAGGUUAAGGGGAAUAGUUAGCGCAAGCGAAGCUAUGAACUUAAGCCCCAGUAAACGGCGGCCGUAACUAUAACGGUCCUAAGGUAGCGAAAUUCCUUGUCGGGUAAGUUCCGACCCGCACGAAUGGCGUAAUGAUUUGAGCACUGUCUCGGCAAUAAAUCCGGUGAAAUUGUAGUGCAAGUGAAGAUGCUUGCUACCCGCGGUUGGACGGAAAGACCCCGUAGAGCUUUACUGUAGCUUAGCAUUGAAUUUCGGUAUUGUCUGUACAGGAUAGGUGGGAGACUUAGAAGCGAGGGCGUCAGCUUUCGUGGAGUCGUCCUUGGGAUACCACCCUGACAGUACUGGAAUUCUAACUGGAGGCCAUGAAUCUGG
RNAcentral lists this ribosomal RNA (502 nucleotides) under Clostridium botulinum C/D. RNAcentral describes it as "partial 23S ribosomal RNA". It matches the Rfam family "Bacterial large subunit ribosomal RNA", at positions 1731 to 2243 of the family's 2925-position model. Lineage: Bacteria; Bacillati; Bacillota; Clostridia; Eubacteriales; Clostridiaceae. The record is from RNAcentral.